GAAGGUAUAGCUCAAUUGGUAGAGCACAUGCUUAGCAAGCAUGAGGUCCUGGGUUCAAUCCCCAGCAUCUCCU
Molecule: transfer RNA, 73 nt
Filed under: Camelus bactrianus (Bactrian camel)
Lineage: Eukaryota; Metazoa; Chordata; Mammalia; Artiodactyla; Camelidae
Also listed under: 1 other name
Rfam family: tRNA
About the family: Transfer RNA (tRNA) molecules are approximately 80 nucleotides in length.
Source: Rfam by way of RNAcentral